UGUCCCUGUGGGAGGUGAUGCAGUCGGAC
This 29-nucleotide non-coding RNA is filed under the name Homo sapiens (human). Lineage: Eukaryota; Metazoa; Chordata; Mammalia; Primates; Hominidae. The record is from RNAcentral.